Molecule: non-coding RNA, 470 nt
Organism: Arachis ipaensis
Lineage: Eukaryota; Viridiplantae; Streptophyta; Magnoliopsida; Fabales; Fabaceae
Source: RefSeq, a predicted model, not a curated record
UUUCACACGCAUAUAAAAAGAAAAAAAUUACAAUCCCUGGCUCAUUCAACGCCGUUCUUCCUUCUAGCUAGGGCUUCUAUCCUCUCUGAACAUACAACACUCUCAUUUCUUCAGUGUAAAGAAGCUCUCCGACAACGCCUUCUUCCUUCUAGGGCUUCUCCUCUCUCCGCCGGUUACGAUCUCUCCAGCUCUGUUAGGGAUUUUUGGGUCUUCCGUUGAAGCAUUGGAUUGACGUUGGUGCGGGGGUGAUUGACGACGAUCUCAGGUCUUCUUUCGCUUACUUCUAUUAACAAUUCUGCACUCAAGGUUCAUAUCUUCUUCAUUAUUAGGUAACUUUCUUUUUCCUCUGCUGAAUUAUUUUGAGUAUGCUUCUCUGUCUUGACUCUUGACCUUAAAGGGUAAUCAAAUAUCUUUUCUUUUUGUGCUGUGUUUUACUUCCUGGUGUUGGUGAUGGUGAAAAUUUAAGAAAU